CCUACGGGAGGCAGCAGUAGGGAAUAUUGGACAAUGGGCGCAAGCCUGAUCCAGCCAUGCCGCGUGAGUGAAGAAGGCCCUCGGGUUGUAAAGCUCUUUUGUUGGGGAAGAAAAGCAGUUGGUUAAUACCCGAUUGUUCUGACGGUACCCAAAGAAUAAGCACCGGCUAACUUCGUGCCAGCAGCCGCGGUAAU
Molecule: ribosomal RNA, 194 nt
Filed under: bacterium rN8
Lineage: Bacteria
Also listed under: 1 other name
Description: partial 16S rRNA
Rfam family: Bacterial small subunit ribosomal RNA
Source: RNAcentral